RNAcentral lists this ribosomal RNA (499 nucleotides) under uncultured bacterium. RNAcentral describes it as "partial 16S ribosomal RNA". It matches the Rfam family "Bacterial small subunit ribosomal RNA", at positions 28 to 506 of the family's 1533-position model. The record is from RNAcentral.
GACGAACGCUGGCGGCGUGCUUAACACAUGCAAGUCGAACGGGUCUGCCCUGUUUUUUGCGGGGUGGGUCAGUGGCGAACGGGUGAGUAACACGUGAGUAACCUGCCCCUCACUUCUGGAUAACCGCUUGAAAGGGUGGCUAAUACGGGGUGUUCUGGCUGUGCCGCAUGGUGUGGCUGGGAAAGAUUCACUUUUGUGGUGUUUUGGUGGGGGAUGGGCUCGCGGCCUAUCAGCUUGUUGGUGGGGUGAUGGCCUGCCAAGGCUUUGACGGGUAGCCGGCCUGGGAGGGUGGGCGGUCACACUGGGACUGAGAUACGGCCCAGACUCCUGCGGGAGGCAGCAGUGGGGGGUAUUGCACAAUGGGCGGAAGCCUGAGGCAGCGACGUCGCGUGAGGGAUGGAGGCCUUCGGGUUGUGAACCUCUUUCGCCGGUGAAGAAGGUCCUGCUCUGUGUGGUGGGGUUGACGGUAGCCGGGUUAUGAAGCGCCGGCUAACUACGU